AAACUUUAUAGGACCAACACACCAUAUUGUCUUCUUGGUCAAUGUCAGCAAUGGUGAAUUAUAAAUAAUUGAAGCUAGCAACUUCACAUUGCCCUUGGGAUUUGCAAAAAUACCUGGAUAACAAAAUCAACAGUAAUUAAGGAAUUAGAUAAAUUUUUAGUCUCCAUUAUCUUCAUGACUUGUUUUUCUCCAACUUCCAAUAUUGUUUCUGUCAAU
This 216-nucleotide unclassified non-coding RNA is filed under the name Hevea brasiliensis (rubber tree). Lineage: Eukaryota; Viridiplantae; Streptophyta; Magnoliopsida; Malpighiales; Euphorbiaceae. The record is from RNAcentral.